CAACAGGGAUUGCCCUAGUAACGGCGAGUGAAGCGGCAAGAGCUCAAAUUUGAAAUCUGGCUCCUUUGGAGUCCGAGUUGUAAUUUGUAGAGGGUGCUUUGGUGUCGGCUAUGGCCUAAGUUCCUUGGAACAGGACGUCACAGAGGGUGAGAACCCCGUAUGUGGCUGCUAGCCUUCACCAUGUAAAGCCCCUUCGACGAGUCGAGUUGUUUGGGAAUGCAGCUCUAAAUGGGAGGUAAAUUUCUUCUAAAGCUAAAUAUUGGCCAGAGACCGAUAGCGCACAAGUAGAGUGAUCGAAAGAUGAAAAGCACUUUGGAAAGAGAGUCAAAAAGCACGUGAAAUUGUUGAAAGGGAAGCGCUUGCAGCCAGACUUGCUCGUAGUUGCUCAUCCGAGCUUUUGCUCGGUGCACUCUUCUGCGAGCAGGCCAGCAUCAGUCCGGGCGGUUGGAUAAAGGCUCUGGGAAUGUAGCUCUCUUCGGGGAGUGUUAUAGCCCAGGGUGUCAUGCAACCAGUCUGGACUGAGGUCCGCGCAUCUGCUAGGAUGCUGGCGUAAUGGCUGUAAGCGGCCCGUCUUGAAACACGGACCAAGGAGUCUAACAUCUAUGCGAGUGUUUGGGUGUCAAGCCCGGGCGCGCAAUGAAAGUGAACGGAGGUGGGAACCCUUCGGGGCGCACCAUCGACCGAUCCUGAUGUCUUCGGAUGGAUUUGAGUAAGAGCAUAGCUGUUGGGACCCGAAAGAUGGUGAACUAUGCCUGAAUAGGGUGAAGCCAGAGGAAACUCUGGUGGAGGCUCGCAGCGGUUCUGACGUGCAAAUCGUCAAA
This 821-nucleotide ribosomal RNA is filed under the name Hermatomyces tectonae. RNAcentral describes it as "partial large subunit ribosomal RNA". It matches the Rfam family "Eukaryotic large subunit ribosomal RNA", at positions 66 to 906 of the family's 3401-position model. Lineage: Eukaryota; Fungi; Ascomycota; Dothideomycetes; Pleosporales; Hermatomycetaceae. The record is from RNAcentral.